This 120-nucleotide ribosomal RNA is filed under the name Anolis carolinensis (green anole). Lineage: Eukaryota; Metazoa; Chordata; Lepidosauria; Squamata; Anolidae. The record is from RNAcentral.
GCUAAUGACCUAUAUUUUCUAAAGACACCAGAUUCCACCUGAUCUUGGUAGCUAAGUAGGUCAGUCCUGGUUAUUAUAUUUGGAUGGGAGAUUGCCAGCAAAUUCCAGGUGCUGUAGGCU